Molecule: long non-coding RNA, 891 nt
Filed under: Setaria viridis
Lineage: Eukaryota; Viridiplantae; Streptophyta; Magnoliopsida; Poales; Poaceae
Description: long non-coding RNA (SVIR_LNC007833)
Source: RNAcentral
UUCACUCGUUCAAGUGUUCUAAAGGUUAGAAACUUCAUCCUCCUUUAACACAUAGUUAGUAUACUAAGUUUUAUAUUUUAGAGCUAGUAAUUUGUGAUUUUUAGAAUAAGGUAUAAUGGAGAAAUUUUUUUAUUUAUAUGAAUGUGUUAUUUAGAGCUCAUAUUUGUGAUUUUUAGAAUAAGUUACAAUUCUUUGGAUGCUAUAUUUCGUAUUAGUCAAAGAUAUUGAUAUGAGGUUAGAGAAAUAAUUUCAUAGUUUAGUUUUUUCAAAUAUGAUCUAAAUAUAUUAUGGCAAAUCAUAGAGAUAAUAAGAUGAAAUAGAGUUCCGUAUUUUUCAUUUGUAUGUUAUGUUUGAGCUACUAGUCUAGUACUCCUCUCCGAACCGGCCUACAAAUACACACCACCCCAGUAACCCACUCCAAGCCACCAGCUUUUGCAUCUCCGAGCUCUCAGCCCUCCGACAAUUUCCCCACAGAGCUCUAUCCCCCGGCUAUCUUUUACAACACAUUCCUUUAACGUCUUGUAGAAAGUCACUACCGUCGUUAGACUAGAGCCAGCUUGUGAUAUGUGACAUCGAUAUUUGAGUUUGUCGUGGUGUAUCAUGUUGUUUGGAUCUGAAAUUUAAAUUUUUAUAUUACUAUCUAAACUUUCAGCAACAUUUCUAUUUAAUGGUAUUUGUUUCAUAUUUUUUAUGUUUCAUUUAUAAUUGUAUGGAUGAUCAGAAUAUCUCUGGUUCGGUAAUAUUUUGUAGAUGUAUCAGCAAUGAAUGUACAACACAACCAAACAUUCUAUAGAGUACAUUAAUGGCUUGCGUGGUUUUCUCGAUUAGGCAGAAUCCAACAAAUCAUCAUCCGGUUUCAUUUGUAGUCCAUGCAGAAAUUACAAAAAUGAG